UAAAGAGUUAAAAAGGAUUUAGGGUUCACCAAUUGUGACGCAUCAGCUUCCUUUGAGAAGCUUCGCUCUCUUCUUCCACGAAACAACGCCGUUCCCCUUCAUUUUCCGAUCAACCCUUCCACAGCGCCACCGUUAGCGGUGAUUCGUUCUCCUCAAGCUCCCGUCUCUCUUCCUUUCGUUCUCGGAUUCACGACAAUGGUGAAGUGGUUGAUGAUGAAAGUUACGUGCUGGAUUGUUGUUCUUGUACGCAGAUUGUGACGAAGUUGUAGUAGAUGUCGUUGCGGAUUCGAUGCUGAAGCUUGAUGGCGGAGAUCGAUCUUUUGAGGGUGGUGAUUAUAUUGCAGGUCCUCCCCUGAUUGAAUUUGACACAGAGCGGUGAAUACGAUCGAAGGUGAAGUAGCUUCGAACGUUUCGAUACCAGGAGGAUGCGAAAUAAACGCAGAGCCAAGAUUGAUUAAGAUAUUUUUAGUUUCUCGCACUUCGAUUCACUUCCUCUUCUAUGAAUCCCGAAUUCUAUUCUUCAUCUUUUUUCUGAUUUUUUCUUUGUACGCAUUCUUGAGAUGUUGUUCUUGGUGAAGAUUUUUUAGAAUUUGCAGAUGAAGAUGAAGAUGAAGCGUGAGGAAGGUGAAGGCGAUGGAGAGUGAGAGAUUGAAGGUUUGUUGAAGUUGAACCAAUGGAGAGGAUUGGAGCUGAUUCUGUUAAGGUUAGAAAUUUCAGAGUUGGUGAAUGAAUGAAAGUGAUGAAGAUUGCCACGGUUCUGAAUCGAUGAAGGUUCUUGGAGAAUAUGAAUGGAGAUUGAAAGGAGAUGAAUGUGAAGUGGUGGAGAAUGAAGAUGGUGAAGAAUCAGGUGGUGUGUGAAGAUGAGAAGGGAUCGAGGGAUUGGUGAAAAUGGUGGAGAGCUUCAAAUGUGAAUGAUGCUGGUGAUAUAUAGAGGUCUGAACCGGUUUAGUUCUUUAUUAUGCGGCGGGUCGAGUUGGUUUUGCAACAGGUUUGUUCUUUUGUGUGAAAGUUUGCAGGUAGAUAGCAGCAAGUUCUCUUGGGGUGUAUCUUCAUGACAACUUAACAACUUGACGUUGGCGUACAAACAAAAGCAGAAGUGGCGGACUCUUGGAAAACAAGUUCGGGGAGGGAUGUUUAGUUAGAAGUCCAAAGGUCAACAGUUCAUGGUUUGGUCAACAAGGUCAAUGGUCAACAGUUGACUAAAAGUCAACGGUUGACCCAAAAGUCAACUCUUGUAAAAAUGUAUAUUUUUUUGUAACUUUCUUUGAGGGAAUAUUGUAAUGGACGCUUGGCAAGGGAAUAAGGGAUGUAAUGGAAUUCGAAUGGGCUGACAUUUCAUAUGAAUGUUGACUUUCAAAUAUUUUACUCUUUGUAUUUGUAA
Long non-coding RNA from Vicia villosa (hairy vetch), 1381 nucleotides. RefSeq lists it as uncharacterized. The transcript is spliced from 3 exons. NCBI's taxonomy places the organism in Eukaryota, Viridiplantae, Streptophyta, Magnoliopsida, Fabales, Fabaceae. The record is from RefSeq and is a predicted model, not a curated record.